Molecule: non-coding RNA, 21 nt
Filed under: Caenorhabditis elegans
Lineage: Eukaryota; Metazoa; Nematoda; Chromadorea; Rhabditida; Rhabditidae
Source: RNAcentral
UCUUCCCAGAAUGUACGGAAA